AACGAACGCUGGCGGCAUGCCUAACACAUGCAAGUCGAACGAGACCUUCGGGUCUAGUGGCGCAGCGGUGCGGGACGCCGGGUAACCUGCCCGUAGGUUCGGAAUAACUGCCCUUAGGGGGUGCUAAGACCGGUUAAUGUAAUCGGACCUACGAGUUCUCGCCUUUGGAUGGGGCCGGGUUGGCUUAGCCAGUUGGUAGUGUAAUAGCCUACCAACGCGACGAUCCAUAGCUGGUCUGAGAGGAUGACAAGCCACACUGGGAAUGAGACACGGCCCAGACUCGGACGCGAGGCUGCAGUGGGGAAUACUGGACACGGGGCGAUAGCCUGACCAAGCCAUGCGGCGUGAGUGAUGCAGGCCUUAGGGUUGUAAAGCCCUUUUACACGGGACGAGAAUGACAGUAACGGGAGAAUAAGCACCGGCUAACUACGUG
RNAcentral lists this ribosomal RNA (433 nucleotides) under uncultured bacterium. RNAcentral describes it as "partial 16S ribosomal RNA". It matches the Rfam family "Bacterial small subunit ribosomal RNA", at positions 29 to 507 of the family's 1533-position model. The record is from RNAcentral.